UGGGCAACCUGCCCUCAGCUCUGGGAUAACUCCGGGAAACCGGUGCUAAUACUGGGUAUCGACUUCUGCUCGCAUGGGUGGUUGUUGAAAAUUUUUCGGCUGGGGAUGGGCCCGCGGCCUAUCAGCUUGGUUGGGUGGGGUGAUGGCCUACCAAGGCGACGUCGGGUAGCCGGCUGAGAGGGUGACCGGCCACACUGGGACUGAGACACGGCCAGCUCUACGGGNGCA
Molecule: ribosomal RNA, 228 nt
Filed under: uncultured bacterium
Lineage: Bacteria
Description: partial 16S ribosomal RNA
Rfam family: Bacterial small subunit ribosomal RNA
Source: RNAcentral